Molecule: ribosomal RNA, 627 nt
Filed under: Pediococcus sp. QMA-11
Lineage: Bacteria; Bacillati; Bacillota; Bacilli; Lactobacillales; Lactobacillaceae
Description: bacterial SSU rRNA
Rfam family: Bacterial small subunit ribosomal RNA
Source: RNAcentral
UUGUCUAUGUGAAAGCCUUCGGCUCAACCGCAAGAAGUGCAUUGGAAACUGGGAGACUUGAGUGCAGAAGAGGACAGUGGAACUCCAUGUGUAGCGGUGAAAUGCGUAGAUAUAUGGAAGAACACCAGUGGCGAAGGCGGCUGUCUGGUCUGCAACUGACGCUGAGGCUCGAAAGCAUGGGUAGCGAACAGGAUUAGAUACCCUGGUAGUCCAUGCCGUAAACGAUGAUUACUAAGUGUUGGAGGGUUUCCGCCCUUCAGUGCUGCAGCUAACGCAUUAAGUAAUCCGCCUGGGGAGUACGACCGCAAGGUUGAAACUCAAAAGAAUUGACGGGGGCCCGCACAAGCGGUGGAGCAUGUGGUUUAAUUCGAAGCUACGCGAAGAACCUUACCAGGUCUUGACAUCUUCUGACAGUCUAAGAGAUUAGAGGUUCCCUUCGGGGACAGAAUGACAGGUGGUGCAUGGUUGUCGUCAGCUCGUGUCGUGAGAUGUUGGGUUAAGUCCCGCAACGAGCGCAACCCUUAUUACUAGUUGCCAGCAUUAAGUUGGGCACUCUAGUGAGACUGCCGGUGACAAACCGGAGGAAGGUGGGGACGACGUCAAAUCAUCAUGCCCCUUAUGACCUGG